UACAGAGGGUGCAAGCGUUAAUCGGAAUUACUGGGCGUAAAGCGCGCGUAGGCCGUCGAGUAAGUCGGGUGUGAAAUCCCUGGGCUUAACCUGGGAAUUGCAUUCGAUACUGCCUGACUAGAGUGUGGAAGAGGGAAGCGGAAUUUCCGGUGUAGCGGUGAAAUGCGUAGAUAUCGGAAGGAACACCAGUGGCGAAGGCGGCUUCCUGGUCCAACACUGACGCUGAGGCGCGAAAGCGUGGGGAGCAAACAGG
Molecule: ribosomal RNA, 253 nt
Filed under: uncultured bacterium
Lineage: Bacteria
Description: partial 16S ribosomal RNA
Rfam family: Bacterial small subunit ribosomal RNA
Source: RNAcentral